AUUUGUUUGUGUGUGGGAAUGCCUUUUUACUACGUAAUGUGAAACGUAAAGCUUUUUUUUUUGCAAAUUUUGAAACGUAUGCAGCCGGCAGUUCGCAAAGAGAGGAAGAGAGAGUGUGCGAGAGAACGGUAAAGAGCGCCCGCGAGUGCAGUCUACACAACUAACGGGAUCAGGUGGGAGAGAGGCCGAAACCGAACCGGGCACAUGGUUUUAAUGCGCUUUACAGGGUUUCUUCCUUGAUUUUUCUCCGAUUUUUAGAAAUAUCUGUAAGGCUUGCGUCCACUACGGGUUUCGCGUUUUCAAGACCGUUUUAAUUCCGAUUGUCCGAGAGAUCGAAAGCGCGAGACCCACCGACUACAAAUACAAAUGUUGUCUGAUGGCUGGCGACGCAGCGCUUGGCAGAAUUGACCGUCGUCGCCGCUGCCGCCGCUGCAGAGAAGAAAGAAGCAGAAGAAAAGUAGAAGGAGGCGGAAUGUACGAACAAAAAAAUGUAAAAACAGAAAAAAAUGUAUCAGCAGCGGCAACAGCACCAACAACAACACAAGAAAUCUCACUCAGAUUUAUCUGCCUCUCGCUCGCUCCUGCUCUGUUUGCAUUACAUACAUGUGCGACAGAACGAUGAACGAUGAUGAUGAACCGAAUUACAAAUAAAAAGAAUGAUGCCAAAAGACGACGACAACGCCAGCGAUUAGCAAAAGCAAAAGCAAAGGAGCAAAAGCACUCACACACACACAAACACACCCGACCCACCCACUCACACACACAUAGCAUACAUAGCGGUGGCGAAAAAAAAUCGGUCGCAAUCGGAAAAAAUGCAAAGGCAGCGACGGCGGCGGCAGCAGCGGCGGCAGAACUCUCUCUGCACAUAAAAAAAAAUAAAGAGAAGACGAAAAAAUUAAACAUAAGCAAGCUCACACACACACACAAGCUCAGAAAAGUGCUCAAGCAGGCUGGAAAAAAAUGAGAAGAAACUUUGAGCCUGAGCGCCAACUGACAACAACAACGACAGCAUAAAAAAAACUGCGGGCAAGAAAGCCGAGGAAAAAAAUUGCGGCACAUCACGCGCACAGUGGGCAAAGCCAUGUGUUGUGCUUAACAAAAAGUUUAUAUAUUCUUUUGUGAUGGACCCUUCAUGAAUAAGUACACAGUCUUAUAUGUUCGAGAUUAAAACUAGCCCAGCUUAUAAUACAUUUAUAAAACAGAUAACAAGAAAAUAAGCAUGUUGCUUGACUGUUCUAAUUGAAAUGUAAACGAUCAAAAUAAAUAAUUUAAUUUUGGUUUAAAUGUACAAAUUAUGGUAUCAUGCGAAACGAGUGACACUGGACUGAACUAAAGUGCACUGAAAACAAUUUGCAUUAUUGAUGAGUGGAGCACAUUUCUUAACAAACUCGUUUUGAGGAAAGCAAAAGAACGAGGAAGUAAAACAAGAAAUAUAAAAAAAAACGAAUGAGUGCAAAUUAUACAUAGCGCAACCCACAGUACAUAGCACCCUUAGAAAAUGACCAGCACACUGACCAUCUACAGAAAAC
This is a long non-coding RNA of Drosophila simulans, 1529 nucleotides long. RefSeq lists it as uncharacterized. Lineage: Eukaryota; Metazoa; Arthropoda; Insecta; Diptera; Drosophilidae. The record is from RefSeq and is a predicted model, not a curated record. The transcript has 2 exons.